RNAcentral lists this ribosomal RNA (577 nucleotides) under uncultured bacterium. RNAcentral's name for it is "bacterial SSU rRNA". It matches the Rfam family "Bacterial small subunit ribosomal RNA", at positions 64 to 663 of the family's 1533-position model. The record is from RNAcentral.
GAACGAGAAAGUGGAGCAAUCCAUGAGUAAAGUGGCGACCGGGUGAGUAACACGUGACCAAUCUACCCUUGAGUGGGGGAUAACCUCGGGAAACCGAGGCUAAUACCGCAUAAUAUCUUCGUGCAAACGAUGAUCAAAGGAGUAAUCCGCUUUUGGAGGGGGUCGCGGCUGAUUAGCUAGUUGGUAGGGUAAUGGCCUACCAAGGCGAAGAUCGGUAUCCGGCCUGAGAGGGCGCACGGACACACUGGAACUGAAACACGGUCCAGACUCCUACGGGAGGCAGCAGUGGGGAAUUUUGCGCAAUGGGGGAAACCCUGACGCAGCAACGCCGCGUGGAGGAUGAAGCCCCUUGGGGUGUAAACUCCUUUCGACCGGGAAAAUAAUGAUGGUACCGGUGGAAGAAGCACCGGCUAACUCUGUGCCAGCAGCCGCGGUAAUACAGAGGGUGCGAGCGUUGUUCGGAAUUAUUGGGCGUAAAGGGCGCGUAGGCGGUGUUGUAAGUCACCUGUGAAACCUCUAGGCUUAACCUAGAGCCUGCAGGCGAAACUGCAAUGCUGGAGGGUGGGAGAGGUGCGUG